GACGAACGCUGGCGGCGUGCUUAACACAUGCAAGUCGAACGGACAGGCCCUGCUUUUGUUGCGUGCUCGAGUGGCGAACGGGUGAGUAACACGUGAGUAACCUGCCCUUUACUUUGGGAUAACUUCAGGAAACUCGGGCUAAUACCGGAUAUGAUCUCCUGCUCCAUGGUGGGGGUUGGAAAGUUUCGGCUGUUGGAGAUGGACUCGCGGCUUAUCAGCUUGUUGGUGUGGUAGUGGCUUACCAAGGCUUUGACGGGUAGCCGGCCUGAGAGGGUGACCAGCCACAUGGGGACUGAGAGACGGCGCAGAAGCCUACGGGAGGCAGUAGGGGGGAAUAUUGCACAGUGGGCGGAAGCCUGAUGCAGAAACGCCGCGUGCGGGAUGACGGCCUUCGGGUUAUAAACAGCUGUCGCAUGUGACGAAGAGGGAGUGACGGUAAUGAGUAAAGAAGCAACGGCUAACUACGUG
This 468-nucleotide ribosomal RNA is filed under the name uncultured bacterium. RNAcentral describes it as "partial 16S ribosomal RNA". It matches the Rfam family "Bacterial small subunit ribosomal RNA", at positions 28 to 507 of the family's 1533-position model. The record is from RNAcentral.